RNAcentral lists this ribosomal RNA (430 nucleotides) under uncultured bacterium. Its description in RNAcentral is "partial 16S ribosomal RNA". It matches the Rfam family "Bacterial small subunit ribosomal RNA", at positions 354 to 796 of the family's 1533-position model. The record is from RNAcentral.
GUGGGGAAUAUUGCACAAUGGGCGCAAGCCUGAUGCAGCAACGCCGCGUGAGGGACGACGGCCUUCGGGUUGUAAACCUCUUUUAGCAGGGAAGAAGCGAAAGUGACGGUACCUGCAGAAAAAGCACCGGCUAACUACGUGCCAGCAGCCGCGGUAAUACGUAGGGUGCAAGCGUUGUCCGGAAUUAUUGGGCGUAAAGAGCUCGUAGGCGGUUUGUCGCGUCUGCUGUGAAACCCCGAGGCUCAACCUCGGGCCUGCAGUGGGUACGGGCAGUCUAGAGGGCGGUAGGGGAGAUUGGAAUUCCUGGUGUAGCGGUGGAAUGCGCAGAUAUCAGGAGGAACACCGAUGGCGAAGGCAGAUCUCUGGGCCGUAACUGACGCUGAGGAGCGAAAGCGUGGGGAGCGAACAGGAUUAGAUACCCGAGUAGUCC